GGACUACACGGGUAUCUAAUCCUGUUCGCUCCCCACGCUCUCGCUCCUCAGCGUCAGUAUCGGCCCAGAGACCCGCCUUCGCCACCGGUGUUCCUCCUGAUAUCUGCGCAUUUCACCGCUACACCAGGAAUUCCAGUCUCCCCUACCGAACUCUAGUCUGCCCGUAUCGAAUGCAGGCUCGGGGUUGAGCCCCGAGGUUUCACAUCCGACGCGACAGACCGCCUACGAGCUCUUUACGCCCAAUAAUUCCGGACAACGCUCGCACCCUACGUAUUACCGCGGCUGCUGGCAC
Molecule: ribosomal RNA, 292 nt
Filed under: uncultured bacterium
Lineage: Bacteria
Description: partial 16S ribosomal RNA
Source: RNAcentral